UCAUAGCUCACUGCAGCUUGUAUUUUUUUG
RNAcentral lists this non-coding RNA (30 nucleotides) under Homo sapiens (human). The record is from RNAcentral. Lineage: Eukaryota; Metazoa; Chordata; Mammalia; Primates; Hominidae.